GAUGAACGCUGGCGGCGUGCAUAACACAUGCAAGUCGAACGAAGUGGCGGACGGGUGAGUAAUGCGUGAGUAACCUGCCUUAGAGAAGGGGAUAGCCUUUGGAAACGAAGAAUAAUACACGAUGCUCUAAGAUGGACUUGCGUGUGAUUAGUUAGGUGGUGGGGUAACGGCCUACCAAGACAGCGAUCAGUAGCCGGCUUGAGAGAGUGUCCGGCCCCAGUGGGACUGAGACACGGCCCAGACUCUACGGGAGGCAGCAGUGGUGAAAUUUGCACAAUGGGGGAAACCCUGAUGCAGCGACGCCGCGUGAUUUAGAAGGCCUUCGGGUUGUAAAAAUCUUUUCUAUGGGAAGCAUUACCAUAGGAAUAAGGACCGGCUAAUUACGUGCCAGCAGCCGCGGUAAUAC
Molecule: ribosomal RNA, 406 nt
Filed under: uncultured bacterium
Lineage: Bacteria
Description: partial 16S ribosomal RNA
Rfam family: Bacterial small subunit ribosomal RNA
Source: RNAcentral